RNAcentral lists this long non-coding RNA (2490 nucleotides) under Drosophila guanche. Lineage: Eukaryota; Metazoa; Arthropoda; Insecta; Diptera; Drosophilidae. The record is from RNAcentral.
AUAAAGAGUGCGGAAAAGUUGCUGCCCAAUAUCCUACUCCAAAUACCAAAACGGGUUCUACAAGUUUCAUUAAAAAACUAUCUCCCCCUGUGGUCAUUUAUGCUGAUAUCGAGGCUGUAUUGGAAAGUUUUCAUAGAAAUCUGAAUGAUCCCUUAAAAUCAUAUACCACUAUGGCUCAGAACCAUACGGCAUGUGCAGUGUCAUUUUAUUUUGUACAUGAAUAUAAUCAUCAUUUAAAUGAGAUGUGGACAUAUGAAGGCAAAUAUUAUCACCAUCUUACGGUAAUAAAACUGUUAAACAUUAGGAUUUACGCUAUUUCAGGACCAGAUUGUAUCAAUAAAUUUUUCCAAGUGCUUCGAUCGAAAACCAUGGGACUUUAUGAGAAGUACUGGAAAUCCGCUAAAAAACCAAUCUACGAGUUCUACAUUUGGGAUGAGGACUAUCAGGAACAUGGAGAGUGCUAUGCCUGUGAUGAGCCCAUUUCGACUGACGACCGGGAGAAGUUUUUUAACCAAUUCACAGGUCAAUAUGUAGGUCCUAUUCAAUAGGUUUGUAAGCAAACAUUUAAACUAAGCGAUCCUUUUUUCCGGUAGUUUUUCAUAACUUGUCUCGUUAUGAUAUUAAUUUAUUUGUAACAUCAAUAAAAGAUGAACUUAACCCCAUACCGUGUAACAAAGAGUUAUACAUUGCGCUAACUCAAAUUGUUCAGAUUGAUAUUUCAAAACAACAGCAUUAUAAAAUAAGAUAUAUAGAUUCAAAUAGAUUUUUAAAUUCCAGCUUAGAAAAACUUGCUAGUUAUAUGGAUCCAUCAAAUUUUAAAAUUAAAAAAAAAACAAGUAUCAAGGGGAAAAAUUUGAUAUGUUAAGGCGAAAAGGAGUAUUUCCAUACGAAUAUUUAGAUAGCUUUAACAAAUUUGAGGAUCACCAACUACCUUCGAGAGAAUUUUUUUUCAACUCACUGAGUGAUGAGGAGUGUAGUUUAGAAGACUAUAGCUUUGCGCAGAAGGUUUGGAGAACAUUUAAUUGCAGCAGUAUUCGAGAUUAUUUGAAAUUAUACUUAGAAAGCGAUGUUUUAAUUCUUGCUGAUGUAUUUGAAAACUUUAGGAGUAUUUGCUUCCGAAUAUAUAAGUUAGACCCAAUAAAUUAUGUUACUGCUCCUUCUGUUUCAUGGGAUGCAAUGCUUAAAUAUACAACGAUAGAAUUGGAGCUAGUUAGUGAUCCGGAUAUAUAUAACUUUUUGAAAACUUCAGUACGCGGAGGCUUAACUCAAUGCACUCAACGGAUAGCUACGGCAAAAAUUAAAUAUUUAAAUGAAAGAUUCAGGGCCAGUGGUCCUAUAUACUAUCUAGCGUACAUUGAUGCUAAAAAUUUAUAUGGUUGGGCAAUGAGCCAGCCACUUCCAUAUUCCAAUUUCAAAUUUCUAAGUAAACGAUGAAAUUCAAUCUUUCAACGCUCCAAGUAUAUCUCCUUGCGGGGAUUUAGGAUACAUCUUAGAAGUAGAUCUGAAAUAUCCUGAUGCUAUACACAAUAUACAUAAUAGUUUACCAUGCUGCUCCGAAAAUAAGAUUCCUCCAGGCGGAAAACAAUCAAAAUUGAUAGCGGACUUAUCUGAUAAAAACAGUUAUAUAAUACAUUUGAAACAGUUGCAGUUAUGCAUAGAAAAGGUAUGAUUUUAGAAAAAAUAUCGCGAGUAUUAUCUUUUAAGCAAUCCUGUUGGCUUAAACCCUAUGUUGAUCUAACUAAAUCCAAUAGAAAAGUAGCUAAGAAUGAGUUUGAGAUAAACUUUUAUAAAUUAAUGGUUAAUGCUGUCUACGGUAAAACGAUGGAGAAUGUAGAAAAGCGACGUUAGGUCGCAUUCGCAAUUAAACACUAUAAUUCAAGACAAAAUUCCGCAGGGUUUAGACAACGCAUAGCUAGACAUAAUUUUCACAGUGUUGAAAUCUUUGGUGAAAAUUUAGCUGCCAUUGAGUCCACUACAUUGGAGUUCGUGUACUAGAACUUUCAAAAUGGUUAAUGUAUGACUAUUUCUAUAAUUUUCAUUCUCUAAAAUGCCCAUCAUCAAAAAUACUCUACAUGGAUACAGAUUCAUUUAUUAUAUCAUCAAAAGAAGAUUUUUAUGGGUUAAUUAAAGACAAUCCUAGUCGAUUUGAUACCUCAAAUUACCAAGAGUCAAACAUUUCGGGAUAAAUCGGGGCAAUAACAAAGAACCAGGUUUAAUGAAAGACGAAAGUGCGGGUCGUAUAAUGACCUCAUUUGCAGAGUAAGAAGCGAGAGCAUACUCUUAUUUAGUUGCCAAAGAUAAUAGCCCUGACCAGAACGUCAAAAAGAUUAAAGGAGUAAAAAAGUCGGUAGUUAAACGAUUAUUACAUGCUCAGUAUAUUGAAUGCAUUAAACAUAAAAAAACAUAUUAUGUACAGCAGAGAGUAAUCAGAAGUAGAGGUCAUAAAAUGUAUACUGAAAUUGCAAAUAAGAUAAGUCUAAAUUAUAAGGA